CAUAAUUUACCUUAUUGAUUAGACAUUCAUCAUCGUUGAUGAAUCGGUGAGGUAUUUAUGUGCCAAGGACGAAUCUGUUGGUUCGGUUCGAAGUGAGUGUUGUGAUCAUGAAAUGACGCCACACUAAGAAGUUUUGUUCCGUAAGCUUCGUCGCCGGUGUAGGAAGAACCAGCGGUGACACCACGGUUUGCAGCGAAGACGGAGAAGGUGAAGGUGACGAUGUUGGAGAAGAAGGAGAGGUUCCAAGAACGGUUGAAGUUAUGAUACCAUGUAAGAAAGAUCAAACCAGAGAGAAGGAGAGAGAGAGAGAAAGUAAGAGAGAAAUUGAAUUUGUUAUUAAUCAAAAACUGAAUCAGUUACAAAGGGAAAUGUGAGGUAUUUAUAUUAGAAGACUUGACAGCUCAGCACAGUGAGCACAGCACAGUCUUAACCUCACCUUUAAUUAAGUACAACAGAAUAUUAACCUAGACAUCUAACCAUACUCUAAUACCACUAAGUGGAAGCCUCGUGCACUGGGCCGCCCCUAUAAAUAUAUACAUGGUUUGGGCUGGCUUGCAAAAGGCUAAUCUGAAGCAUAGUAGACCUGAAGUAGCCCCACCCAAAAUGACCCACCCUGUUUUGACACCUUUAUCAGCACCAGGAGGAAGGAGCAGGAAGUUGCAUGAAGGGAGAGGAGGAAGAAGGAAGGCCAGAAGGAGUGGGCCUAAAUCAGUUGGUAGAGGAGCCAGAAUAGUAGAAUGUUAUUCUAGAUGAAAUGUGCAAUCAUGUCUGUGGAAGAAUGGAUGAAAAUUUCGCUAAAUAAGAGCAAUUUCUGUGCCUAACUGAAGAAUGGUCUAAAAGAAUGAGAAAACUGCCAUAUGACUUGGUUCACAAUCCAAUUUGUAUACGGAAGCAGUAUCUCUAAGCCAGACUUUGUAGCGUAACUGCUGGAUUGAGGGGAAUGGGACUAGCGAGAGGUGGUUACUGGUUUCCAACAAUUUAUUGGUGCUGAACAACCAGAGAAGUUGUGCAAAAUGAUAUAUAUUCCAAGUUUCAGCAAAGGGUGCACAUGAUAUUUUAAUUCUGUUCAUCCCAAAUUCACCAGCCCUAAAAAUUCAAUAUUACCUUAGUUCAGAAUUUUGUUUUCAGUAAUGUUUGGAGCUUCAUAAUAAUUGACGGAUCAGUCAUUUUUGAGCUUUGAUUGGUCUUCUGGGAUAGGUCUUAAUAUGGUUUUAUUCUCUAGUGUUGUCCUACAUAGGGAGUUUAUAGCGCGUCAUUUGUUAUGACAAUUCCUGGGUAGUCAGAUCUUUAUGAAUUUUGCUUGCUUAGCUCUUUUAAUGUCUCUGCAAGAAAAUAAGACUUCUGUCUGCACUCUGCACAUUGCAAUAUCCCAUGGCCAUACCCACUGUUAAACCAUUCAUGGCAACAACAAGGCUUGGACUUGUAACAACCUUGCCUAAGUGGCAAGGAGGGAGUAAGAAGGAAAAGAUGAGUAGCAAAGAUAAAAGGAAGCGAUAGGCAUUAGAGGUCAUCUUGAAAUUAAAUGAAGGUUUUGGGUUCCUUUAGGCAGGGAUGAGCAGACCCUCAAAGAUCUGCAGGUGUCUCUAUCUUCACUAUCUGUUUCUGUGUAUUCAAAAGGGAUUUCCCCUCCAAUAACUUUGUGAGGAGCUAGGUAGCCUUUUCAUUUCUCAGCAACACAACUUUCUUUCGAAAUUCUUGCUUGCAUAUGUGCCGUAAGUGUAGUUCUUCAUGUUUAGCACAGAAAAGUAAUUAGUAGAGUUGAUCAUUACAUAUCUAUGUAAAAUCUUCUGAAGGAUCACCUAGUUCUUAAUUUAUUCCCAUUUUUUAAUGUGGGUACAUUUCAUGCAGGUUAGUUUUGUCAAUUGUGAUUAAAUGAUAUGCAAACAAAUUCUUGUUCCCAGUCCAUGCAAUUUUUGCAGUUGUUACUUGAUUGCAGGAUGCACAGAAUAGAGUGGCAGCAUAUGCUUUGUUCCAACUGUUUCCUGAUAUUCCAGUUCAUUUCCCAAUUUCAGAGCCUUAUGCUUUGCUUGUUAAAAAGUGGAUGGAAGGUCACCUUUAUAAAUAGCUUUUUGUCAUUGAUCUAAAUCCUUUUGCCCUUUAUCUAUGCAAUUUUGUUCUGAAGAUAUGACAUUUCGAAACUUGCAGGGGAAUCAUUAACCAAGUUAGAUGACAGUGAGGAAGAUCAUAGGUCUGGUUUUGUGGAUUCAUUACUAAACGGUGAUGGUUCUGGUGUGACCGCAUCUGUUGAAUUUUCAGAUUAUAGGCUUCCACAUAACUUUGGUGGACACUCUGAAAAGAAACAUUCAACCCUUGCCAAUCAUCAGCCAUUUCCUUCGAGUAAGUUUAUCCACAUUUUUCUCGAAUCAGCCUGUUCUUAUGCAAGAAAUAUUUUUCUGUCUAGGGUGAAAAUUGAAAUCUCUCUACUUACAUUCAAUGCUUAUCUUCAAUUACUUUGUCUUCACUGAUUUGUAAUUGCUUUUCACUCUUUUCUAUUGUUUCUUGAGAAAUAUUUGUGGAUAUUUUAAAUUGCAUACCCAUAAAUUUGGUGGAUAUUUUUCCCUAUUUUUCUCAAUAAUGUUAAUUUGGUGGUAAAUUGUGUGGGCUCUGUUAUUUAACUCUAUAUACAAAGGAAGUCACGUCUAUGAAUAUUUGUCUGUGUUAAAGAAUAUUACAAAGGAAAAUGAUUACAAUAUGAAGAACAGUUUCUAGUUGCUACUUUAUCCUAUUCCCCCAUGAAUUUUAAUAUGGUAUUUAAGUUGUAUAUGACUGCUGUACGAAUCGGCUACAGUACUCACUUCCCAGAUGUGAAGGGUCAUAGUUCAGGGAGUGCUACUUAAGUGUUCUGUUGAUGGGUAAUAAAUUCACUUAUUGUCUGCUAUGUCUGGUUUUCAUGGAUUAGAAUUUCAUUAUGCAGGAGAAACCUAUAGCAAGGAAAUGGAGAGUACUUGUUUGAGGCAAGUACAAAAUAAUAAAAUGAGAACACAAAGAUACCAGGUUCACAUACACUUUUCUGAUAUCUAUUAUGAUUCAUUUUCAAUUUUUGAACUAGAUUUGCACUCUAUAUUUAGUAGGGUCAUUUUCUUUUCCGCCCCUGAAAAAAUUGGUUUUAGCCCCUGUAACUUAGUUUAUUUUGAUGUUCAUCCCUGCCAUUAGCUAAAACCAAUUAAGUCUUGACAUGGAAUUCUACGAAGAUGACAUAUAAAAGGACCAUUAUGUAUGGGGAUUAAACAUAUUUAAUCCCAUAUUAUAUAAUUUCAUAAUUAUUAUUGUUAUAAACAGAAAACUUUGUCUUUACAAUGAGUCUUUUAGGGUCUGUUUGUAAUUUGGUUUUUGCAGGGUAGGGGAAGACUUGGAAACCAUGAAAUACAGUUGGGAGAGAAUUCUCGAGCCUUGAAUUUCUCUCAUGCUCUCCAAAAACCAACUCACAAACAACCCCUUAAUUGCAAAUAAUUAUUUAUUAGGGUGGAAUUGUUUUAUAUUUCAUUUUUUAUUUUUGUAUUGGCUAGAUAUAUAAAUCUAAUCUUUAUAUGCAAUGGUUGUAUCUACAUUACCUCAUGCUGAAAUCUAACUUAAAUAUAAAGAAUGAGAUGGCGACUAUUGAACCCCUUUGCCAUAGGAACUCCUGAUUACUUGGUCAUAAAUGCUUAAGCUGCUGUUGGAUGGCCAAGAGUGGUUUUAUCAAUGACAAACUAAACUGUUAGGUGGAGGCACACAAUUUUUUGUCUCUAAUAAGUUUGUAUCUCUAACAUACCCACACGAAAUCACUUUGGGUUUGAAGUGCGGAAUGCAUAGGUGAGUUUUCCUUGUAAUGAAAUUGAACUUAUCAUAAAGAAUGGGAGUGGCAAUAUUGAACUUGUUAAAACUUCAUUAUAGAGGCUUUGGUGCAAUGUUCACCCACCAAAACUCCCAAAGAUUAAGCUAUUAGGCGGAAGUUUAAGCAAUUAGGAUCUUUGAAAUUCAUUCUUUUCAUCUCAAUAGUUGUGUUAUUAAAAAAUGUGUUAUAUCUUCAAUACUUGGGGUGUAAUUUGAGUACAUCACUAUCAUUGAAGAAUUUCCCAAAAUUUUCGGUGCUAUUGACUAACUGUUCUUUAUUGGGAAAAACAAAGAUCUUUAUAAAUACUGACUUCAACAUACAUUUUCUGCUUCAGGAUAUGUUGAAAAUUAGAGCUAGACUUCCUAUUGCUGCACUGAAGGGUAAUAUAUUGCAAUUGCUGAAGGAAUAUGAUGCUCUUGUUGUUUGUGGGGAAACGGGCUCUGGAAAGACAACUCAGGUGACAAUGUAGCUAUAGUUUGUAAUGGGUCUUGUGUCCUGUAUUUUAUAAACUUUCUGUUAUUGUCAUUUGCAUUCUUCUUGUCGAGUGUCUUCAGCUCCUCUUCUUACUGGCAUAUAAUGUAGGUUCCACAAUUUAUAUUGGAUGACAUGAUUGAAUCAGGAUGUGGUGGACACUGUAAUAUUGUAUGCACACAACCAAGGCGAAUAGCGGUGGGUACAAAAUCUUUUGAUUGCAUAUUUGUUCGAUUUAAAUAUUUAUUACAUGUUUCAACUAUAUUUUAGUUUAAUCCUUUCUAUUGUGCAUUUUGAAUAAGCCAGCUGUUUGCUUAUCACUGUUUUUGUUCCUUGCCUGCCAGUAUGGUAGGACAAACUUUUCGGUGUCAUUUUUUUAUUUUUGAUAAAAAUGAAAUUUUAUUAGAUAACAAGAGAUGAUAAGCUAUCUUCACAAACAUAACAAAGAGAAAAAGCUUAAAUCUAAAUAAUAGAACCAUGCCACAAAGCGUGUCAAUUCCUUUGGAUGUCUAACAAAGAAACACCUUUUCUAACCCAUUGGCUGAGCACCAAAAGGAUGCCAAUAGAGUAACUCUAUCCCAAACAAAGUCUCGGGUCGAAAAGAGGCAUUAAACAAUCUAUUGUUCUUUCCCAUCACAUACACCAAAGCAUAAAAAAAAUCAAAGCUUUGCCAUAUAAUCUUUGCUUCUUUGUGAGAGCCCAAACCUUUUAAGUUAGUAAGGGGAAAAUGAUGGAUGUCCCUAUCUAUAUAUAAGGAGAUAAAGCGGUAAGAGGUCUGCUAUUCUGGAGCAUGUGGUUAUUGUUAAUCCUGUUAAGAAUAACAAUGUAGGCUGGGAGCUCUAAAUUUGGGUUCUAAAAGUUUUCAAAUCAAAGCCUUUCUCUUUGGGCUUCUUGACCUUCAAAGGCACUUUCUUCCUUAGAAAUUUAGGAUACAUAUGCAGGGGAACACAUUAGCUGUCCCACACUUUGUACCAUUUCAUGUACCAUGAGCUUAUGAUUAGUCUGAAAAAUAUUUAAUAAUUAAAUUUUAACUUAAAUAUAUGUUUUCUGACCAAUCACAUGCCCAUGGGACAUCGAAUGGUACAAAGUGUGAGACAGCAGAUGUGUACCCCAUAUGCAGGCAUGCAGCCCAUAAUUUGGACCGUGGAAAGGCACCUUUAGGUUUUAAUCAUAUAAAAAACUUUGGUGAGAGCUCUAAUUUUUUGGCUUCAGCUAAACCUUGCCCCUCUUUCUAUCUUCCCUUGCUCUUCUCAGAGCCUCUUUGAUGCUAGUAAUGCAAAUUAGGGCAAUUCUAUUGACACCCUUAAUAAACAUAAAAUCUUCUCUAGGGCUGAGUGCCCCUCUGACACAAGUUUCAGAUGCUAUUUAUAUUGGGAAAAUCAGUAGGCAUUAAUUUAAAAAAAAUGUAUGAGCCCAAUAAGGAUAAACAAAAAAAUUAUCCAAUUCUAAGAUGGAAAAAUAUAUUUCAAGACAAAAUGAAAUCCCUAAAUAACAAAGUAAUCCCAAAUUAAAAACUUAGCUUUAAAAUUAAAAUCCUUAAAGCUAAUAAUAAAUCAUUAGCCCAUUCUGCGUCAGUCUACCUAGUUAACUUGUCUAUCAUACAAGUUUAUGAAAAGGGAAUUGACAAACAUUUGCAUAUGCAAUGAUUAGUAAAAAAAUCUUGAGGGGGUCUUAGAAAGGUAAUUUCCAACCCAACUAUAUUCAUAAAAUUUAAUACAAGAGUCAUCACCCAACUUAUAGGACAAACAAAAGAUAGAUAAAACAAAAUAACCUCCUUGAAAUAAAUGUCCAAGGACUAGCAUGAGUACCUCCUUUAUCUUCCUCACAUUUUAAUACGUACCAUACUUCAAAUGACUUGAUGCCAUAAAGAAGACGAUUCUGUAGGAAAUGACCAAAUUACCAAUGUUUAACCCAUUCCUUUGGUUUAUAACAAAUCUCCCAACUAACCAGGUAGUCUCUCCUAAAAUAUCCCACCCGACCAAAGGAAAUCCCCCAUAACUGUAUUUUUUGAGCCAGACCCACCACUAGCUGUACGAGAAGGGGAGAAAUAUGUGAAAGGAUACUAGCCAAAGAAAGUCGGAUAAGACUGAUUGAGCCCCCAAAAAGAAAAAGCUCCAUUUCAACACUCUAAUUGUUUAGAAAUGUUUCAAACCAUUAUGUCCAAAGAGGACAAAGCCCUAUGAUUACCUUCCACAGGAAUGCCACGAUAAAUGAUAGGACACUGAAGAAUUUGGCAGCCCACUAUAGCAGCAAAAACACUCAAUAACUAGCUAUCUACAUUCUUAGCUGCCAAACUGGUUUUAACAAGUUAAUCUUAAGACUAGAAAUGAUCUCAUAAUUUCAAAAUAGACAAAAUAAUGCCAAAUUUUCCAAGAGGAACAUUGAGACAAUGAACUGAAAUCCAUUGUGGACCAAUUAUUAACCCCUUAACCAAUCAUUAUUAAUAGUUCUAGACACUAAAAGUUAUGCACAUCAACCACAACAGCAAAAGGAAAUAGAUGAUCUCCUUGCCUUGGUUCCUCAGAAUCUUAAACCGAGGUUUUGGUUCACUAUUCACUAUGGCUACAAAAGGUGCAGGAUUAUAAGCACCCUGUACAACAGAAUAUUAACCUAGACAUCUAACCAUACUCUAAUACCACUAAGUGGAAGCCUCGUGCACUGGGCCGCCCCUAUAAAUAUAUACAUGGUUUGGGCUGGCUUGCAAAAGGCUAAUCUGAAGCAUAGUAGACCUGAAGUAGCCCCACCCAAAAUGACC
This 7040-nucleotide long non-coding RNA is filed under the name Lupinus angustifolius (narrow-leaved blue lupine). RNAcentral describes it as "long non-coding RNA (LANG_LNC003674)". Lineage: Eukaryota; Viridiplantae; Streptophyta; Magnoliopsida; Fabales; Fabaceae. The record is from RNAcentral.